CCUACGGGUGGCAGCAGUGAGGAAUAUUGGUCAAUGGACGGAAGUCUGAACCAGCCAUGCCGCGUGCAGGAAGACGGCUCUAUGAGUUGUAAACUGCUUUUGUACAAGGGUAAACCUGAAUACGUGUAUUCAGCUGAAAGUACUGUACGAAUAAGGCUCGGCUCACUCCGUGCCAUCAGCCGCGGUAAUACGGAGGUUCCAAUCGUUAUCCGGAUUUAUUUGGUUUAAAGGGUGCGUAGGCGGAUUGAUAAGUUAGAGGUGAAAUGUCCGGGCUUAACUCGGGAACUGCGUCUGAUACUGGUGAUCUAGAGAGUAGUUGCGGUAGGUGGAAUGUAUGGUGUAGCGGUGAAAUGCUUAGAGAUCAUACAGAACACCGAUUGCGAAGGCAGCUUACCAAUCUAUAUCUGACGUUGAGGCACGAAAGCGUGGGGAGCAAACAGGAGUAGAUACCCCAGUAGUC
Molecule: ribosomal RNA, 460 nt
Filed under: uncultured bacterium
Lineage: Bacteria
Description: partial 16S ribosomal RNA
Rfam family: Bacterial small subunit ribosomal RNA
Source: RNAcentral